AUGCUUAUUGUCGUUAUUAUUAUUAUUAUUAUUAUCAUUAUCAUUAUUCCCCUGCCUCUCCCCCCAGCGCUUAGAGCAGCGCCGUGCAGCUCGCAAGGGGUUAAGGAACGGCCAGGCGGUUACUAUGGUUACAGGGCAGUCGUUGCCUCGGCGCGUGUGCGUCCGCGAAAGGCGUCCGGCGGGAGGGGGGGGGGGGGGGGUGCGGCGCGGUGCGCGUUCCCGGCCGGAAGGGGAAAAGGGCGGACCCGCCGCCUCCCUCCUCCCCUCCCCGCCCGCGGCGCCGCCCGCACUUCCGCUUCCGCCCGCCGCGUGACGCCGCCAGACCCACCUCCCCCCCCCCCCCCCCCCCCAGCGGCCCAGCAGCAGCAGCAGCAGCAGGAGGAGGAGCAGGAGCGGUGGGUCUGCAACCCCGGGCGGGGUGGGGGGGGGGGGAGGAGGAGGAGGAGGAGGAGGGAGAAAGAGGGGGGAGGAAGGGGGGAGAGGAGGGGGGAGGAAAAGGAGGAGGGAGAAAGAGGGAGGGAGGAAGAGGGGGAGAGAAGAGGAGGGGGGAGGAAGGGGAGGGGGGGGGAGGGAGGAGAGAGAGAGAAGGGAAGAAGGGGGAGGAGGGAGGAAGAGGAGGAGGGAGGAGGAAGACGGGAGGGGGAGGAAGAGGAGGAGGGAGAGAGAAGGGGGGAGGGGGAGGGGGAAGAAGAGGGGGGGAGGAGGGGGAGGAAGGGGAGGGAGGAGAGAGAGAAGGGAAGAAGGGGGAGGAGGGAGGAGGAGGGAGGAGAGAAGGGGGGAGGAGGAGGGAGGAGGAGGAGGAAGGAGGAGGAGGGAGGAGAGAAGGAGGGAGGAGAGAAGGGGGGAGGAAGACGGGAGGGGGAGGAAGAGGAGGAGGGGAGAGAGAAGGGGGGAGGAGGAGGGGGAAGAAGAGGGGGAGGAGGGGGAGGAAGGGGAGGAGGAGAGAGAGAAGGGAAGAAGGGGGAGGAGGGAGGAGGAGGGAGGAGAGAAGGGGGGAGGAGGAGGGAGGAAGGAGGAGGAGGGAGGAGAGAAGGAGAGAGGAGAGAAGGGGGGAGGAAGACGGGAGGGGGAGGAAGAGGAGGAGGGGAGAGAGAAGGGGGGAGGGGGAGGGGGAAAUUAGCGAGGAAGAGGGGGGAGAGAGCGCUUAGUCCAGUAGCGCUUAGUACAGGGCUCUGCACAUAG
RNAcentral lists this long non-coding RNA (1182 nucleotides) under Ornithorhynchus anatinus (platypus). RNAcentral describes it as "lncRNA (ENSOANG00000043461.1)". The record is from RNAcentral. Lineage: Eukaryota; Metazoa; Chordata; Mammalia; Monotremata; Ornithorhynchidae.